This 253-nucleotide ribosomal RNA is filed under the name uncultured bacterium. RNAcentral describes it as "partial 16S ribosomal RNA". It matches the Rfam family "Bacterial small subunit ribosomal RNA", at positions 524 to 776 of the family's 1533-position model. The record is from RNAcentral.
GACGUAGGGCGCGAGCGUUGUCCGGAUUUAUUGGGCGUAAAGAGCUCGUAGGCGGCUUGUCGCGUCGACUGUGAAAUCCCGCGGCUCAACUGCGGGUCUGCAGUCGAUACGGGCAGGCUAGAGUUCGGUAGGGGAGACUGGAAUUCCUGGUGUAGCGGUGAAAUGCGCAGAUAUCAGGAGGAACACCGGUGGCGAAGGCGGAUCUCUGGGCCAUUACUGACGCUGAGGAGCGAAAGCGUGGGGAGCGAACAGG